GGGAGAGAUCAUACUAGUGUUAAUGCACCAGAUCCCAUCAGAAAUCUGUAGUUAAGCAUGCUUGGACUAGAGUAGUACUGGGAUGGGUGACCUCUUGAGAAGUCCUAGUGUUGCACCCU
Picea glauca (white spruce) is the source of this 119-nucleotide non-coding RNA. Lineage: Eukaryota; Viridiplantae; Streptophyta; Pinopsida; Pinales; Pinaceae. The record is from Rfam.